Molecule: long non-coding RNA, 2188 nt
Organism: Mya arenaria
Lineage: Eukaryota; Metazoa; Mollusca; Bivalvia; Myida; Myidae
Exons: 3
Source: RefSeq, a predicted model, not a curated record
GGGUCAUGAACUGAUCAAGCCCAGCCUUCAUGUCAAGUUUGAUGAUUAUAGGUCCAGGCUUUCUUGAGUUAUCUCUGAGAGUAGCUUUGUUAACUUUCUGUGUUGAAAGUCACUAUGACCUUGACCUUUGACCCGAUGAAACCAAAAACCAACACGGGUCAGGCCAAACCUUCAUGUCAAGUUUGAUUACCAUAAAUCCAGGAAUUGUUGAGUUGGCUUCAAUGUGACUGUGAGCUUGACCUUUGACCUUAUGACCACCAAAAUAUAUAGGGGUCAUAUACUGGUCUGGCCCAACCUCCAAGUAAAGUUUGGGGCCAUGCGUGCAGGCAUUGUCGAGUUAUUACCCGGACAACCUUUUAUUUAUAAAGGUCACUGUGACCCUGACCUUUGACCCGAUGACUCCUAAAAUCAAUCGGGGUCGUCUACUGGUCAGGCCCAGCCUCCAUGUCAAGGUUGAUGACAAUAGGUCUAGGAAUUGUUGAUAAAUCACUCGGUCAAUCUUUAAGAUCCUUUUACCAUUAAGAUCAUGUGAAUUUUGAUGACCAUACGUCCAAGAAUUGUUGUGUUAUCACCUGGACAAGCUUUGGUCUACUGACGAACCGACCGACCGACCGACAUUUGCAAAGCAAAAUACCCCUCUUCUUCGAAGGGGCCAUAAUAAAUCUUAGAACACUCUCUUUAAUUUACUAUCUGUCUAGAAAGAAAAACAGAGGAUUUCGAGGUCGACACUAGUCUUUCCACGAGCACGAAGAUCAUCCUGGUAGUAAGCGCGCCGCUCUGGUUUCCCAUAUUGACGGCAACGGCCGUGAUCGCCUUACCGGUGAAAAUCGCAUAUGUAAUCGCCGGUAAAAUAAAGUGCAAUGCACAGAUGCGGGCUUACAAGGCGGACAAAGCAGGUAUUAUGCAAAAAUGGACGGAAAUGAUUAUUGACGACAUGUUUACCCUGAAAAACAUUGAGGAGUUCAUUUUUGAGACAUACUUUAACAUGAAAUGAAAAUAAAUGAGUUGUGUGAUAAAAAGAUUCCGGAUUUGAUCGCGGCAGAUCGAUUAAAAGUGAAGAAACUCCAAGAAGACAGACGUACCGCUAAAGAAAUUUUCGAUGACUUUCAACCGGUGAAGUAAAAGCUGUUGACAAUACUGGGACAUCUGAGGCUGUAUAAACUACGUCACGUGGCCACUGACGUCAUCGAUGUGACUCAACUGCGACGCGAAAAGGAGGUCCGGAGCGGGCACUUUUCGACGGUAUACAAGGCGCACCUGCAACUAACGGGUGAUAGAGGGAGUCGAGUUGUCUCGCUCAAGGUGCUCAAACGGCGCAUAGACGGGGAUGAAAUGUACACUCUGUUGACGGAAGUUGACAGCUUAAGGCAGUUAAAACAUGAGAAUAUCGUGGAUCAGGUCGGUGUAUGCUUCUCGGAAUCGCUGCCGCCCUUUGGUGCUCAGGGGCAACCCGAGCCCCAGAGCGCCCCCAAACUGAUGAUGGUUCUGGAGCACUGCGAAACGAUCCUAGAGACGCUUGUCUUUGAUAAUGAGCAUCUGAAGUGCGGAUGAAAGGGGAUGUAGCCAAGCUAUGUGACCUGGGACUCGCAAGACGGAAAGUAGACAGCACGGGGACGUUCGUGGGCACCAUGUCGCACAUGUCUCCGGAAAUGCUCUCCAACAAAUGGAACACGUACAAGACGGACAUUUACAGCCUCGGGAUUUUCCUCUGGGAGCUAUGGUACGGCCGGUACGUGUACUCCGAGGACGAAUACCAUACCAUACACUGGACUGUUCUUAUUGAUGCUAUCAAAGCAGGGACGCGGCCUAGAUGUGACAAAAAAUACGCUAUGGUAGAUAGUCUUAGAGAAAUAGUUGAAAAAUGCUGGGACCAAGAUCCGACAAUUCGUCCUGAGGCAAGGGACGUUGCGCUUAUCAUCAAAGUAUUGUAAGAGUAAACAACUUUAUGACAUAAGGCUUAUCAUCAAAGCCUGCAAAUUGUUAUUUUAAUGGUUUUUAAGUUUUUGUGCAAAGGACUACUUUGACUCAGUGAAAAAAUGACAACAGUAACAUGUACAUAUGGUUGUCGCAAAUAUGUAAUAUAACAAGUUGUAGAUAUUAAAGAAGAAUCAGCCCAGAACUGUUGUUACGUACUCUCAUUUUAUUUCAAUGUAACGUCCAUCUUGACUGUCUCGAAUUAAUAUGACAU